RNAcentral lists this ribosomal RNA (253 nucleotides) under uncultured bacterium. RNAcentral's name for it is "partial 16S ribosomal RNA". It matches the Rfam family "Bacterial small subunit ribosomal RNA", at positions 524 to 776 of the family's 1533-position model. The record is from RNAcentral.
GACGUAGGGCGCGAGCGUUGUCCGGAUUUAUUGGGCGUAAAGAGCUCGUAGGCGGCUCGUUGCGUCGGCUGUGAAAACCCGCAGCUCAACUGUGGGCUUGCAGCUGAUACGGGCGGGCUGGGAUUCGGUAGGGGAGACUGGAAUUCCUGGUGUAGCAGUGAAAUGCGUAGAGAUCAUGAGGAAGACCAGUGGCGAAGGCGGGUCUCUGGACAGUUCCUGACACUGAGGCACGAAGGCCAGGGGAGCAAACGGG